This 1033-nucleotide ribosomal RNA is filed under the name Bacillus amyloliquefaciens. RNAcentral's name for it is "bacterial SSU rRNA". It matches the Rfam family "Bacterial small subunit ribosomal RNA", at positions 31 to 1052 of the family's 1533-position model. Lineage: Bacteria; Bacillati; Bacillota; Bacilli; Caryophanales; Bacillaceae. The record is from RNAcentral.
GAAUGGGGGGGGCUGCUAAUACAUGCAGUCGAGCGGACAGAUGGGAGCUUGCUCCCUGAUGUUAGCGGCGGACGGGUGAGUAACACGUGGGUAACCUGCCUGUAAGACUGGGAUAACUCCGGGAAACCGGGGCUAAUACCGGAUGGUUGUUUGAACCGCAUGGUUCAGACAUAAAAGGUGGCUUCGGCUACCACUUACAGAUGGACCCGCGGCGCAUUAGCUAGUUGGUGAGGUAACGGCUCACCAAGGCAACGAUGCGUAGCCGACCUGAGAGGGUGAUCGGCCACACUGGGACUGAGACACGGCCCAGACUCCUACGGGAGGCAGCAGUAGGGAAUCUUCCGCAAUGGACGAAAGUCUGACGGAGCAACGCCGCGUGAGUGAUGAAGGUUUUCGGAUCGUAAAGCUCUGUUGUUAGGGAAGAACAAGUGCCGUUCAAAUAGGGCGGCACCUUGACGGUACCUAACCAGAAAGCCACGGCUAACUACGUGCCAGCAGCCGCGGUAAUACGUAGGUGGCAAGCGUUGUCCGGAAUUAUUGGGCGUAAAGGGCUCGCAGGCGGUUUCUUAAGUCUGAUGUGAAAGCCCCCGGCUCAACCGGGGAGGGUCAUUGGAAACUGGGGAACUUGAGUGCAGAAGAGGAGAGUGGAAUUCCACGUGUAGCGGUGAAAUGCGUAGAGAUGUGGAGGAACACCAGUGGCGAAAGCGACUCUCUGGUCUGUAACUGACGCUGAGGAGCGAAAGCGUGGGGAGCGAACAGGAUUAGAUACCCUGGUAGUCCACGCCGUAAACGAUGAGUGCUAAGUGUUAGGGGGUUUCCGCCCCUUAGUGCUGCAGCUAACGCAUUUAAGCACUCCCGCCCUGGGGGAGUACGGUCGCAAGACUGAAACUCAAGGAAUUGACCGGGGCCCGCACAAGCCGGUGGAGCAUGUGAUUACUCGAGCACCGCGAGAUCUUACAGUCUGGACAUUCGUCUGACAUCUAGAGAAUCGAACGUUCCUUCGGGGCAGACUGAACGUGAUGCCAUCGGCUGG